This 793-nucleotide unclassified non-coding RNA is filed under the name Hevea brasiliensis (rubber tree). Lineage: Eukaryota; Viridiplantae; Streptophyta; Magnoliopsida; Malpighiales; Euphorbiaceae. The record is from RNAcentral.
CUUUAAUUUCUUUUAAAUUAAAAAAAAUUAUAAGAAAAAUAAUGAUUGUAAUUAUUUAAAUAUAUCCCCAUAGCUCAUCAACUCAUUUAGGGGUAAAAUUGUAAUACAACCCUUAAAUGGGUGACAGCCAAAAGUAAUGUACCAAACCAACUAAUCACAUCACCAAGAGCAAAGAGAGACGAGAGUUACAGAGGACCUUCGAGAAUGAACCCCUCAUCAUUACAAUAUUUACACUCAUACCCCUCUUGCAUUUCCUAAACUACCCCUACUCAGGUAUUGCACUUAACAUUGCAGUAAACUUGGUCGUCCCGCCACCUCUCCUCAACCGCCUGCCACUACUACCGCCUGCACCUGUUGCGGCGGAGACUGUCAUUCUCCUACUAGAUUUCCCAUCACUCUCGCCAGAAAACACAAACGGCGACAACGACUUCCGGCGGCAACCACAUUUGUCAGUCCCAUUAUUAUUACUUUUCAUCAAAGCUGAGCUAGCUUUGACAGCCAAUGCAGCCAUUUCCUCCGGCUGCAAAGGGUGUUUUAACCUACUCAAAGGCAAAGCGAAAUAAAGCUGUCCCAAUUGGAGCUCUUCAUCAUCGUUAAUGGCGGAAACGACAUCGUCAUACUCCAUUUCAUCGGCGUUGCAGAUGAAAUAAGUGGGAUUCUUUUGGCGAACAUAAGAAACCUUAACAGGGUAGGAAAAUUCUUGCAACCUCCCAUCUUGUAGGAUCAGCUUUGCAGUAGCUACGUUGGUGGAUUCACUGGAAUUGCAAAUACCCAUUUAGGUAAAAUUGAGAUU